This 166-nucleotide unclassified non-coding RNA is filed under the name soil metagenome. RNAcentral describes it as "partial internal transcribed spacer 1". The record is from RNAcentral.
CUGAGUUGCAAAACUCCCCAACCAUUGUGAACCUACCUAUCGUUGCUUCGGCGGGCGAGGCCCUCAGCGGCCUCGCGCCCACCCCCCCUCGGGGGGAGGCAGCCCGCCGGAGGCGUCCAAACUAUAGCAUACAUUGGCCUCUCUGAGUAGCUUAUAAAAUAAGUCA